RNAcentral lists this ribosomal RNA (253 nucleotides) under uncultured bacterium. RNAcentral's name for it is "partial 16S ribosomal RNA". It matches the Rfam family "Bacterial small subunit ribosomal RNA", at positions 524 to 776 of the family's 1533-position model. The record is from RNAcentral.
UACAGAGGGUGCAAGCGUUGUUCGGAAUUAUUGGGCGUAAAGGGCGCGUAGGCGGUGCGGUAAGUCUGUAGUGAAAUCUCUGGGCUCAACUCAGAGUCUGCUGCAGAAACUGCCGUGCUUGAGUGUGGGAGAGGUGAGUGGAAUUCCCGGUGUAGCGGUGAAAUGCGUAGAUAUCAGGAGGAACACCAAUUGCGAAGGCAGCUCGCUGGGACGUAACUGACGCUGAGACGCGAAAGCGUGGGGAGCAAACAGG